Molecule: ribosomal RNA, 504 nt
Filed under: uncultured Flavobacterium sp.
Lineage: Bacteria; Pseudomonadati; Bacteroidota; Flavobacteriia; Flavobacteriales; Flavobacteriaceae
Description: bacterial SSU rRNA
Rfam family: Bacterial small subunit ribosomal RNA
Source: RNAcentral
GAGUUUGAUCGUGGCUCAGGAUGAACGCUAGCGGCAGGCUUAACACAUGCAAGUCGAGGGGUAGAGUUAGCUUGCUAACUUGAGACCGGCGCACGGGUGCGUAACGCGUAUGCAAUCUACCUUGUACAGGGGGAUAGCCCAGAGAAAUUUGGAUUAAUACCCCAUAGUGUUAUGAUGUGGCAUCACAUUAUAACUAAAGUUCCAACGGUACAAGAUGAGCAUGCGUCCCAUUAGCUAGUUGGUGUGGUAACGGCAUACCAAGGCAACGAUGGGUAGGGGUCCUGAGGGGGAGAUCCCCCACACUGGUACUGAGACACGGACCAGACUCCUACGGGAGGCAGCAGUGAGGAAUAUUGGUCAAUGGGCGCAAGCCUGAACCAGCCAUGCCGCGUGCAGGAUGACGGUCCUAUGGAUUGUAAACUGCUUUUUGUACAGGAAGAAACACUCCCUCGUGAGGGAGCUUGACGGUACUGUAAGAAUAAGGAUCGGCUAACUCCGUGCCAG